Panthera uncia (snow leopard) is the source of this 2051-nucleotide long non-coding RNA. RefSeq lists it as uncharacterized. NCBI's taxonomy places the organism in Eukaryota, Metazoa, Chordata, Mammalia, Carnivora, Felidae. The record is from RefSeq and is a predicted model, not a curated record. The transcript has 2 exons.
UAUUUUUUUUUAUUUAUUUUUUUUUUUUUUAAUUUUUUUUUUCAACGUUUUUUAUUUAUUUUUGGGACAGAGAGAGACAGAGCAUGAACGGGGGAGGGGCAGAGAGAGAGGGAGACACAGAAUCGGAAACAGGCUCCAGGCUCCGAGCCAUCAGCCCAGAGCCUGACGCGGGGCUCGAACUCACAGACCGCGAGAUCGUGACCUGGCUGAAGUCGGACGCCCAACCGACUGCGCCACCCAGGCGCCCCAUUUACUUACUUUAUUUAGAAAGCGCAAGUGGGGGAGGGCAGAGAGAGAGAGAGAGAGAGCAAGCGAGCAAGCGAGAGAGUAUGUUAAGCAGGCUCCCCACUCAGCGCCGAGCCCCGUCUGGGGCUCCAUCCCACGACCCUGGCAUCGUGACCUGAGCCCAAAUCGAGAGUCGGCUCAACCGACUGAGCCACGCAGGCAGGCGCCCCUAUUGAAAUCAGACUUAAGAAACGUGUUGAAUAUCAGAACAGCUAUAUUCAAAUACAUUCACAACUGUAUGAGUUCCUGUUGCCACCUGACACGUUACCUCAAAAUCUCAAGGCCUAAAACAACAGAGUUGUUUACACCUCACAGUUUCUGUGAGCUGGGAACCCACUCAUGGCUUUGGAAGACCUCUCUUUCGGGGCCCCUCCCAAGCUGCACUCAGGAUUGCAGCGGGGGCUGCGGCCGUCUCCGAGUUCAGCGGGGGACCGGUCUGCUUUUAAGCUCACUCGCGAGAUUGAUGUCGGGAUUAAGUUCCUAACAGGCUGUUGUUCGGAGGGCCCGAGUUCCUGAUGGAUGGAUGGCCCCUGGCCUCUCUUGGGUUUUGCCACGUGGGGCCUCUCCGCAGGGCAGGUCGCGGCGUAGCAGCUAGCUUCCUCAAAGUGAGCAAGCAGGAGAGCAAGCAGGAGGGGUCGUCAGUGCUUGCAAGGUAAUUUUGAGGCCGACACGCCAUUCCUCUUACCAUGUGUUGUUCCUCAGGAGCAAGUCACUAGGUCCGGCCCACGGUCAAGGGGAGGGGAUCACACAGGGGCAUGAGUACCGGCAGGCAGAGGUCCCAGUCUGAGGCUGAUGAGCACCCAAGGGAGGGGUGGGGAUGGGUAUGUUGCGGAGGAAAGUGAGAAAGGCUGGGUUCUGUGUCAGACCCGAGACUCUGAAGAGCUUUGCUGAGUUUGCUUCCCUCUUCGCCCACGUUGCUUGGUGUGGAAUUUUAACUUUCUUCCCAUUUGGAGAGCACUCUUGCAACUUGGUUCCGUCUCUUUCCCUCCCAGAAUCGGUGUGCUAGCGCCUCCUUCUCCCACCCCUUUUUUCAUGAUCUCUUACACACUUCCCCUUUCAGGCCAAGCUGUUUGCAUUGAUAAUGGGUCAUCGACCUCCUCGCUACUACUUUGCCAGAGCACGUGGACUUCUAGGACUUCUCGCGCUGUUCCUAGUCUCUGUGGAGGGUUUGCAUUUACCCGAUUGCUAAUGGAGACAUGGUUGCCUCUCGGUACCUGACAAGGGUCUUGGGGUUUUGGGUGUGUAUUCGUUCCUUUGAGACUUGUUGCAUCUGUUACUACUUCGAGUUAAAAGCUCCACUUUCUAGCACCUUUCUACAUGUCUGUUGUGUUGUUUCCUUUUGAGAGAAUUUGGCCUGGAACCAGCCUUGCUUACAUGUUCACCUGCUUUUGCUGGCUUUGUAUGUUAUGUUAUGACAGCCUGGCAAGCUAUAGUGAAAGGUGACAGGAUUCCAGAAGUCAUUUUUGAAGCCUUGAGUUCAAGGGCUGCUGCUUUGUGGGCAGUUUGACGAAUUACCGACGGACUGUAUUUGCAUACGGAGGCUGAUAUUCAAAGAAGCUUUUCCUUGAGUUCUCAGUAAAGAUUUCCAUAUUUGUGUGGAGAGUGAUGAGCGCCAUUUUGACUCUUUAAAAGACAAAUUAUGUUUCUUUUUGAGAGAGGGAGAGAGAGAGAGAGAGAGAGCGCGCGCGUGCGCACGAGGGGGGAGGGGCAGAGAGCGAGGGAGACACAGAAUCCAAAACAGGCUCCAGGCUCUGAGCUGUCAGCAC